RNAcentral lists this ribosomal RNA (1372 nucleotides) under uncultured bacterium. RNAcentral's name for it is "bacterial SSU rRNA". It matches the Rfam family "Bacterial small subunit ribosomal RNA", at positions 28 to 1381 of the family's 1533-position model. The record is from RNAcentral.
GAUGAACGCUGGCGGCGUGCCUAAUACAUGCAAGUCGAGCGAACGGACGAGAAGCUUGCUUCUCUGAUGUUAGCGGCGGACGGGUGAGUAACACGUGGAUAACCUACCUAUAAGACUGGGAUAACUUCGGGAAACCGGAGCUAAUACCGGAUAAUAUUUUGAACCGCAUGGUUCAAAAGUGAAAGACGGUCUUGCUGUCACUUAUAGAUGGAUCCGCGCUGCAUUAGCUAGUUGGUAAGGUAACGGCUUACCAAGGCAACGAUGCAUAGCCGACCUGAGAGGGUGAUCGGCCACACUGGAACUGAGACACGGUCCAGACUCCUACGGGAGGCAGCAGUAGGGAAUCUUCCGCAAUGGGCGAAAGCCUGACGGAGCAACGCCGCGUGAGUGAUGAAGGUCUUCGGAUCGUAAAACUCUGUUAUUAGGGAAGAACAUAUGUGUAAGUAACUGUGCACAUCUUGACGGUACCUAAUCAGAAAGCCACGGCUAACUACGUGCCAGCAGCCGCGGUAAUACGUAGGUGGCAAGCGUUAUCCGGAAUUAUUGGGCGUAAAGCGCGCGUAGGCGGUUUUUUAAGUCCGAUGUGAAAGCCCACGGCUCAACUGUGGAGGGUCAUUGGAAACUGGAAAACUUGAGUGCAGAAGAGGAAAGUGGAAUUCCAUGUGUAGCGGUGAAAUGCGCAGAGAUAUGGAGGAACACCAGUGGCGAAGGCGACUUUCUGGUCUGUAACUGACGCUGAUGUGCGAAAGCGUGGGGAUCAAACAGGAUUAGAUACCCUGGUAGUCCACGCCGUAAACGAUGAGUGCUAAGUGUUAGGGGGUUUCCGCCCCUUAGUGCUGCAGCUAACGCAUUAAGCACUCCGCCUGGGGAGUACGACCGCAAGGUUGAUACUCAAAGGAAUUGACGGGGACCCGCACAAGCGGUGGAGCAUGUGGUUUAAUUCGAAGCAACGCGAAGAACCUUACCAAAUCUUGACAUCCUUUGACAACUCUAGAGAUAGAGCUUUCCCCUUCGGGGGACAAAGUGACAGGUGGUGUAUGGUUGUCGUCAGCUCGUGUCGUGAGAUGUUGGGUUAAGUCCCGCAACGAGCGCAACCCUUAAGCUUAGUUGCCAUCAUUAAGUUGGGCACUCUAAGUUGACUGCCGGUGACAAACCGGAGGAAGGUGGGGAUGACGUCAAAUCAUCAUGCCCCUUAUGAUUUGGGCUACACACGUGCUACAAUGGACAAUACAAAGGGCAGCGAAACCGCGAGGUCAAGCAAAUCCCAUAAAGUUGUUCUCAGUUCGGAUUGUAGUCUGCAACUCGACUACAUGAAGCUGGAAUCGCUAGUAAUCGUAGAUCAGCAUGCUACGGUGAAUACGUUCCCGGGUCU